CCUACGGGUGGCUGCAGUGGGGAAUAUUGCACAAUGGUCGAAACACUGCACCAGCGACGCCGCGUGAGGGAAGAAGUAAUUAGUUAUGGAAAACUCUAUCAGCAGGGAAAAAAAAGACGGUACCUGAGUAAGAAGCCCCGUCUGACAACGUGACAGCACCCGCGGUAAUACGUAGGGGGCAGGCGUUAUCCGGAUUUCCUGGGUGUAAAGGGAGCGUAGACGGCAGUGUAAGUCUGGAGUGAAAGGCAGAGGCUCAACCCCCGGACUGCUCUGGAAACUGUACGGCUGGAGUGCAGGAGAGGUAAGUGGAAGUCGUGGUGUAGCGGUGAAAUGCGUAGAUAUUAGGAGGAACACCAGUGGCGAAGGCAGCUUACUGGACUGUAACUGACGUUGAGGCUCGAAGGCGUGGGGAGCAAACAGGAUUAGAUACCCUGGUAGUC
Molecule: ribosomal RNA, 440 nt
Filed under: uncultured bacterium
Lineage: Bacteria
Description: partial 16S ribosomal RNA
Rfam family: Bacterial small subunit ribosomal RNA
Source: RNAcentral